GACAGAGGAGCCAAGCGUUGUCCGGAUUGACUGGGCGUAAAGCGCACGCAGGCGGGUGCGCGCGUGGGGUGUGAAAAUGGCCGGCUUAACCGGCCGAGGCCAUCCCAUACGGCGCGCCUCGAGCCGUGCAGAGGGCGGGGGAAUUGCCGGUGUAGUGGUGAAAUGCGUAGAGAUCGGCAGGAACACCCAGGGGGAAACCAGCCGCCUGGGCACGCGCUGACGCUGAGGUGCGAGAGCGUGGGGAGCGAACCGG
RNAcentral lists this ribosomal RNA (253 nucleotides) under uncultured bacterium. Its description in RNAcentral is "partial 16S ribosomal RNA". It matches the Rfam family "Bacterial small subunit ribosomal RNA", at positions 524 to 776 of the family's 1533-position model. The record is from RNAcentral.